This 641-nucleotide ribosomal RNA is filed under the name uncultured Ehrlichia sp. RNAcentral describes it as "bacterial SSU rRNA". It matches the Rfam family "Bacterial small subunit ribosomal RNA", at positions 815 to 1455 of the family's 1533-position model. The record is from RNAcentral. Lineage: Bacteria; Pseudomonadati; Pseudomonadota; Alphaproteobacteria; Rickettsiales; Anaplasmataceae.
GCUGAAUGUGGGGAUAAUUUAUCUUUGUAUUGUAGCUAACGCGUUAAGCACUCCGCCUGGGGACUACGGUCGCAAGACUAAAACUCAAAGGAAUUGACGGGGACCCGCACAAGCGGUGGAGCAUGUGGUUUAAUUCGAUGCUACGCGAAAAACCUUACCACUUUUUGACAUGAAGGUCGUAUCCCUCCUAACAGGGGGAGUCAGUUCGGCUGGACCUUACACAGGUGCUGCAUGGUUGUCGUCAGCUCGUGUCGUGAGAUGUUGGGUUAAGUCCCGCAACGAGCGCAACCCUCAUUCUUAGUUACCAACAGGUAAUGCUGGGCACUCUAAGGAAACUGCCAGUGAUAAACUGGAGGAAGGUGGGGAUGAUGUCAAAUCAGCACGGCCCUUAUAAGGUGGGCUACACACGUGCUACAAUGGCAACUACAAUAGGUUGCGAGACCGCAAGGUUUAGCUAAUCCAUAAAAGUUGUCUCAGUUCGGAUUGUUCUCUGCAACUCGAGAGCAUGAAGUCGGAAUCGCUAGUAAUCGUAGAUCAUCACGCCACGGUGAAUACGUUCUCGGGUCUUGUACACACUGCCCGUCACGCCAUGGGAAUUGGCUUAACUCGAAGCUGGUGUGCUAACCGAAAGGAAGCAGCCA